This 17-nucleotide transfer RNA is filed under the name Micrococcus luteus. RNAcentral's name for it is "tRNA-Ala". The record is from RNAcentral. Lineage: Bacteria; Bacillati; Actinomycetota; Actinomycetes; Micrococcales; Micrococcaceae.
AGCGUUGAGGUCGCUGU